CCUACGGGAGGCAGCAGUGAGGAAUAUUGGUCAAUGGACGAGAGCCUGAACCAGCCAAGCAGCGUGAAGGAUGACUGCUCUAUGGGUUGUAAACUUUUUUUAUAUGGGAAUAAAACAGGGUAUGCAUACACUCAUGUAUGUACAAUAUGAAUAAGGAUCGGCUAACUCCGUGCCAGAAGCCGCGGUAAUACGGAGGUUCCGAGCGUUAUCCGGAUUUAUUGGGUUGAAAGGGAGCAUAGGUGGAUUGUUAAGUCAGUUGUGAAAGUCUGCGGCUCAACCGUAAAAUUGCAGUUGAAACUGGCAGUCUUGAGUGCAGGAGAGGUAGGCGGAAUUCGUGGUGUAGCGGUGAAAUGCUUAGAUAUCACGAAGAACACCGGUUGCGAAGGCAGCUCACUGGACUGCAACUGACACUGAUGCUCGAAAGUGUGGGUAUCAAACAGGAUUAGAUACCCGAGUAGUC
Molecule: ribosomal RNA, 460 nt
Filed under: uncultured bacterium
Lineage: Bacteria
Description: partial 16S ribosomal RNA
Rfam family: Bacterial small subunit ribosomal RNA
Source: RNAcentral